GCUGAUAGGGCUGCAAUUGCAGGGUAUUGUGAUAUAAUAUUAUUUAAAGAGUUUCUUUCGUCAGUA
RNAcentral lists this transfer RNA (66 nucleotides) under Thaparocleidus varicus. RNAcentral's name for it is "tRNA-Ile". The record is from RNAcentral. Lineage: Eukaryota; Metazoa; Platyhelminthes; Monogenea; Dactylogyridea; Ancylodiscoididae.